Molecule: ribosomal RNA, 329 nt
Filed under: uncultured eukaryote
Lineage: Eukaryota
Description: partial 18S ribosomal RNA
Rfam family: Eukaryotic small subunit ribosomal RNA
Source: RNAcentral
CCCUUAGAUGUUCUGGGCCGCACGCGCGCUACAGUGAUGAAUUCAACGAGUUUAUAACCUUGGUUGAAAAGCCUGGGUAAUCUUUUGAACUUUCGUCGUGAUGGGGCUAGACCCUUGCAAUUAUUGGUCUCCAACGAGGAAUUCCUAGUAAACGCAAGUCAUCAGCUUGCAUUGAUUACGUCCCUGCCCUUUGUACACACCGCCCGUCGCACCUACCGAUUGAAUGGUCCGGUGAAAUCUUCGGAUUGAGACUUUGAUUUCUUCACGGAAAACGCUGUUUUAAAAAGUUGAUUAAACCUUACCAUUUAGAGGAAGGUGAAGUCGUAACA